AAAAGCUGGCCAUGUGAGCCAGCAGCGGCAACCCGCUUGGGUCCCCUUUCACACUGUGGAAGCUUUUUUCUUUUGCUUUUCAUAAUAACUCUUGCUGCUGCUCACUCUUUGGGUCCACACUACCUUUAUGAGCUGUAACACUCACUGCAAAGGUCUGCAGCUUCACUCCUAAAGUCAGUCAGACCAUGAACCCACCAGGAGGAACAAACAACUCCAGCCACCUUUAAGAGCUGUAACACUCACUGUGAAGGUCUGUGGCUUCACUCCUGAAGUUAAGCAAGACCAUGAACCCACUGGAAGGAAGAAACUCCGGACACAUCUGAACAUCUGAAGCAACAAACUCUGGAAACACCAUCUUUAAGAACUGUAACACUCAUCGCAAGGGUCUGCAGCUUCAUUCUUGAAGUCAGCUAAGACCAAGAACCCACCGGGAGGAACCAAUUCUGGACACAUUUUGGCACCCAACGUGGGGCUAUCAUCUAUCACCAAAUGGAUCGAGGCCAUUGAGCUACAGAUGGUCUUACAAAUGGAACCCCAAAUGAGCUCAACUAACAACUUCUACCAAGGACCCCUGGACCAACCUGCUGGCCCUUUCACUGGCCUAAAGUGUUCCCCUCUGGAGGACAUUAAAACUGCAGGGCCCCUUCUUCACCCCUGUCCAGCAGGAAGCUGCUAGAAUGGUCAUUGCCCAAUUCCCAACAGCAGUUGGGUUGUCCUGUUUAGAGGGGGGAUUGAGAAGUGAAGCCAGCUGGGCUUCUGGGUCAGGCGGGGACUCAGAGAACUUUUCUGUCUAGCUAAAGGAUUGAAAACACACCAAUCAGCACUCUGUGUCUAGCUAAAGGUUUGUAAACGCACCAAUCAGCACUCUGUAAAAACGCACCAAUCAGCACUCUGUGUCUACCUAAAGGUUUGUAAAUGCACCAAUCAGUACUCUGUAAAAACGCACCAAUCAGUGCUCUGUGUCUAGCUAAAGUUUGUAAACACAUCAAUCAGCACUCUGUAAAAAGGGACCAAUCAGCACUCUGAAAAAUGGACCAAUCAGUGCUCUGUAAAAGGGACUAAUCAGCAAGACAUGGGCGGGGCCAAAUAAGGGAAUAAAAGCUGGCCACCCAAGCCAGCAGCGGCAACCUGCUCGGGUCCCCUUCCAUGCUGUGGAAGCUUUGUUCUUUCGCUCUUUACAAUAAAUCUUGCUGCUGCUCACUCUUUGGGUCCACGCUACCUUUAUGAGCUGUAACACUCACUGCAAAGGUCUGCAGCUUCACUCCUGAAGUCAGCAAGACCACAAACCCACCGGAAGGAACAAACAACUCUGGAC
Molecule: long non-coding RNA, 1315 nt
Filed under: Homo sapiens (human)
Lineage: Eukaryota; Metazoa; Chordata; Mammalia; Primates; Hominidae
Description: HSALNT0054599
Source: RNAcentral